GCUGGGCGCGAUGGCUCACGCCUAUAAUCCCAGCACUUUGGGAGGCUGAGGUGGGUGGAUCACCUGAGGUCAGGAGUUUGAGACCAGCCUGGCCAACAUGGUGAAAACCCAUCUCUA
Pongo abelii (Sumatran orangutan) is the source of this 117-nucleotide unclassified non-coding RNA. It matches the Rfam family "Metazoan signal recognition particle RNA". From Rfam's summary of the family: The signal recognition particle (SRP) is a universally conserved ribonucleoprotein. It is involved in the co-translational targeting of proteins to membranes. Lineage: Eukaryota; Metazoa; Chordata; Mammalia; Primates; Hominidae. The record is from Ensembl.